UACGGGGGGAGCAAGCGUUGUCCGGAAUUAUUGGGCGUAAAGGGCGUGUAGGCGGCCUGGUCAGUCGAAUGUGAAAUCCCACGGCUCAACCGUGGAACUGCGUUCGAUACUGCCUGGCUUGAGUAUGUGAGAGGUGUGCGGAAUUCCUGGUGUAGCGGUGGAAUGCGUAGAUAUCAGGAAGAACACCGAUGGCGAAGGCAGCACACUGGCGCAAUACUGACGCUGAGGCGCGAAAGCGUGGGGAGCAAACAGGAUUAGAAACCCAGUAGUCC
This 272-nucleotide ribosomal RNA is filed under the name uncultured bacterium. RNAcentral describes it as "partial 16S ribosomal RNA". It matches the Rfam family "Bacterial small subunit ribosomal RNA", at positions 524 to 796 of the family's 1533-position model. The record is from RNAcentral.